UCACUCAUUAAGAACAGAGGAGGCUGC
RNAcentral lists this non-coding RNA (27 nucleotides) under Homo sapiens (human). Lineage: Eukaryota; Metazoa; Chordata; Mammalia; Primates; Hominidae. The record is from RNAcentral.